AGUUCCUGAAACCGUGUGCCUACAAGUAGUUAGAGCCCGUUAAUGGGUGAUAGCGUGCCUUUUGUAGAAUGAACCGGCGAGUUACGAUUUGUUGCAAGGUUAAGCGGAAAAAGCGGAGCCGUAGCGAAAGCGAGUCUGAAUAGGGCGCAUAAGUAACAGGUCGUAGACCCGAAACCAGGUGAUCUACCCAUGUCCAGGAUGAAGGUAAGGUAAUACUUACUGGAGGUCCGAACCCACGCACGUUGAAAAGUGCGGGGAUGAGGUGUGGGUAGCGGAGAAAUUCCAAUCGAACUUGGAGAUAGCUGGUUCUCUCCGAAAUAGCUUUAGGGCUAGCCUCGAGGUAAAGAGUCAUGGAGGUAGAGCACUGUUUGGACUAGGGGCCCUUCUCGGGUUACCGAAUUCAGAUAAACUCCGAAUGCCAUGUACUUAUACUCGGGAGUCAGACUGCGAGUGAUAAGAUCCGUAGUCGAAAGGGAAACAGCCCAGACCACCAGUUAAGGUCCCCAAAUAUAUGUUAAGUGGAAAAGGAUGUGGGGUUGCUUAGACAACCAGGAUGUUGGCUUAGAAGCAGCCACCAUUGAAAGAGUGCGUAAUAGCUCACUGGUCGAGUGACCCCGCGCCGAAAAUGUACCGGGGCUAAACAUAUUACCGAAACUGUGGAUGAACCUCUUUAGAGGUUCGUGGUAGGAGAGCGUUCUAAGGGCGGUGAAGUCAGACCGGAAGGACUGGUGGAGCGCUUAGAAGUGAGAAUGCCGGUAUGAGUAGCGAAAGAAGGGUGAGAAUCCCUUCCACCGAAUAUCUAAGGUUUCCUGAGGAAGGCUCGUCCGCUCAGGGUUAGUCGGGACCUAAGCCGAGGCCGAUAGGCGUAGGCGAUGGACAACAGGUAGAGAUUCCUGUACCAGUGCUAAUUGUUUAACCGAUGGGGUGACACAGAAGGAUAGGGAAUCGCACGAAUGGAAAUGUGCGUCCAAGCAGUGAGUGUGAGAAGUAGGCAAAUCCGCUUCUCGCGAAGCAUGAGCUGUGAUGGGGAAGGAAAUUAAGUACGGAAGUUCCUGAUUUCACGCUGUCAAGAAAAGCCUCUAGGAAGAGUAGUACUGCCCGUACCGCAAACCGACACAGGUAGAUGAGGAGAGAAUCCUAAGGUGAGCGAGAGAACUCUCGUUAAGGAACUCGGCAAAAUGACCCCGUAACUUCGGGAGAAGGGGUGCUCUAUUAGGGUGCAAGCCCGAGAGAGCCGCAGUGAAUAGGCCCAGGCGACUGUUUAGCAAAAACACAGGUCUCUGCAAAACCGUAAGGUGACGUAUAGGGGCUGACGCCUGCCCGGUGCUGGAAGGUUAAGAGGAGUGCUUAGCUUCGGCGAAGGUACGAAUUGAAGCCCCAGUAAACGGCGGCCGUAACUAUAACGGUCCUAAGGUAGCGAAAUUCCUUGUCGGGUAAGUUCCGACCCGCACGAAAGGCGCAACGAUCUGGGCACUGUCUCAACGAGAGACUCGGUGAAAUUAUAGUACCUGUGAAGAUGCAGGUUACCCGCGACAGGACGGAAAGACCCCGUGGAGCUUUACUGCAACCUGAUAUGGAAUGUUUGUACCGCUUGUACAGGAUAGGUAGGAGCCGAAGAGACGUGUGCGCUAGCAUACGAGGAGGCAAUGGUGGGAUACUACCCUGGCUGUAUGACCAUUCUAACCCGCCACGCUUAGCGCGUGGGGAGACAGUGUCAGGUGGGCAGUUUGACUGGGGCGGUCGCCUCCUAAAGAGUAACGGAGGCGCCCAAAGGUUCCCUCAGAAUGGAUGGAAAUCAUUCGCAGAGUGUAAAGGCACAAGGGAGCUUGACUGCGAGACUGACAAGUCGAGCAGGGACGAAAGUCGGGCUUAGUGAUCCGGUGGUUCCGCAUGGAAGGGCCAUCGCUCAACGGAUAAAAGCUACCCCGGGGAUAACAGGCUUAUCUCCCCCAAGAGUCCACAUCGACGGGGAGGUUUGGCACCUCGAUGUCGGCUCGUCGCAUCCUGGGGCUGUAGUCGGUCCCAAGGGUUGGGCUGUUCGCCCAUUAAAGCGGCACGCGAGCUGGGUUCAGAACGUCGUGAGACAGUUCGGUCCCUAUCCGUCGCGGGCGCAGGAAAUUUGAGAGGAGCUGUCCUUAGUACGAGAGGACCGGGAUGGACACACCGCUGGUGUACCAGUUGUUCCGCCAGGAGCAUCGCUGGGUAGCUAUGUGUGGCAGGGAUAAACGCUGAAAGCAUCUAAGCGUGAAGCCCCCCUCAAGAUGAGAUUUCCCAUUUCUUCGGAAAGUAAGAUCCCUGAAAGAUGAUCAGGUAGAUAGGUUUGGAGUGGAAGUGUAGCGAUACAUGGAGCGGACAAAUACUAAUCGAUCGAGGACUUAACCAAAA
RNAcentral lists this ribosomal RNA (2385 nucleotides) under Listeria monocytogenes. RNAcentral describes it as "partial 23S ribosomal RNA". It matches the Rfam family "Bacterial large subunit ribosomal RNA", at positions 545 to 2925 of the family's 2925-position model. The record is from RNAcentral. Lineage: Bacteria; Bacillati; Bacillota; Bacilli; Caryophanales; Listeriaceae.